RNAcentral lists this long non-coding RNA (850 nucleotides) under Homo sapiens (human). RNAcentral's name for it is "HSALNT0291668". Lineage: Eukaryota; Metazoa; Chordata; Mammalia; Primates; Hominidae. The record is from RNAcentral.
GACAGCAGCGGGCCAGGCAAGAGCACAACAUGGCGGCGGGCAGGACGGACCGAGCUACAGCAGCGGCCGCGCGAGGAAGUGAGGUCUCUGGCGAAGGCGGGAAGCGCUGCCCCUCCCCCCGCCGCCGCUUCCCUAUCACCCUCGCACAGAAACUCCCGCACACUCACACACCUCUGCUCAGGAGUCCAGGAAGAGCAGGAGCCGCCCCCGCGCUCCUACGGAGUCGGGCAAUGCAGAGGCCCAGGCGCGGCGGAGGGGAGGGGGAAGUGUGCGUCACGGAGAACGGAGCGCGCGCGAAGCGGGGGCACAAGCAAGAUGGCGGCCACGCCGUUUGCACCGUUUCCCCUUUUCCCUUCCCCCUCCCUUGGCGCCUGGACUCCCAGUAUCGUGCGGUGCGCAGAAGCUGUGCUCCUUGAGGUCUCGCGAGAAUUGGGAAGGGGCGACGACAGAGGGAGGCGGAAUGAGAUCUGAGAGUUUUAACCCCGCCCCCUUUCGGGAGCUCGAGAUCUGAGUUUUGACCCCGCCCCCUUUCGGGGGAUCCGGAGGCGCUGCCCAGUGACCUCCACCACCCUGCCUAUCCUUGUGGAUCUCCUUGGUGCGAGCUUGAAUUUUAGGAAAUAAGUAGGUGUGUGCGCGUGCCCUUGAGUUUUAGGAACUAAGUAGGGGCGUGUGUGUGUAUUUGUGUUUUUAAUUUGGGGAGAAAGAACUGGGGGAUGAAGGUCGACAUGGCGUUCCAGAUUAAGCAUGCCGUUCAAGUAGACAGCUACUGGCACCUUAAAUUCAUAAAAGAGCAUUUAGCACCAAACUGUAAAGUGAUGUCCUCUAGAAUAAAGAACAGUACUUACCAAGA